RNAcentral lists this ribosomal RNA (468 nucleotides) under uncultured bacterium. RNAcentral's name for it is "partial 16S ribosomal RNA". It matches the Rfam family "Bacterial small subunit ribosomal RNA", at positions 28 to 507 of the family's 1533-position model. The record is from RNAcentral.
GACGAACGCUGGCGGCGUGCUUAACACAUGCAAGUCGAACGGAAAGGCCCUGCUUUUGUGGGGUGCUCGAGUGGCGAACGGGUGAGUAACACGUGAGUAACCUGCCCUUGACUUUGGGAUAACUUCAGGAAACUUGGGCUAAUACCGGAUAGUAGCUCCUGCUGCAUGGUGGGGGUUGGAAAGUUUCGGCGGUUGGGGAUGGACUCGCGGCUUAUCAGCUUGUUGGUGGGGUAGUGGCUUACCAAGGCUUUGACGGGUAGCCGGCCUGAGAGGGUGACCGGCCACAUUGGGACUGAGAUACGGCCCAGACUCCUACGGGAGGCAGCAGUGGGGAAUAUUGCACAAUGGGCGGAAGCCUGAUGCAGCAACGCCGCGUGCGGGAUGACGGCCUUCGGGUUGUAAACCGCUUUCGCCUGUGACGAAGCGGGAGUGACGGUAAUGGGUAAAGAAGCACCGGCUAACUACGUG